GGCGGUGGAGUUCUUCUUGCCACCGACGACGGUGUUGUUGUUGUUGUUGUUGGCUGGCCUGCCGACGGACUUGUUGAAGUAGCUCUUGACGGCGUCGUUGUUGGCGUUGGCGUUGUUCUUGUUGAGGUAGUAGUCGGUCACGCUCAUGGUCUUGCCGGCGGCGGCGUUGGCGUUGUUCUUGUUGAGGUAGUAGUCGGUCACGCUGAUGGUCUUGCCGGCGUUGGCGUUGGUGGUGUUCUUGUUGAGGUAGUAGUCGGUCACGCUGAUAGCGGCGGCGUUGUUGGAACCAACACCUGCACCUGCACCGGCGGCGUUGGCGUUGUAGCGGUCGGCGCUGGUGGUUGUGGCGUUGCCGAAGGCGAGCUUGGCGGAUCCGAUGAGGCCCGGGGAGUUGGUAUUGCCGCCGGGGAAGGAGGAGGAGGGAUCCGGUGGCGAGGUGGUGGAGGACCAGAUGGAGUCGGCGAUGGAGAGGUUGGAGAAGUUGUUGUGCAGGCGCAGCUGGUCGCUGAAGUUCCAGAACUCGCGGUCGUAGGAGGCGUCCAUGGCGGAUGGAUGGAUCGGGAGGUCGGCGGUCGGGUCCUCCUCACUACCUCUCCUCCCCAACCAAACCAACUGGUGAAUGGAAGAAGAGGAUGGAUGCG
This 641-nucleotide long non-coding RNA is filed under the name Sorghum bicolor (sorghum). RNAcentral describes it as "long non-coding RNA (SBIC_LNC016811)". The record is from RNAcentral. Lineage: Eukaryota; Viridiplantae; Streptophyta; Magnoliopsida; Poales; Poaceae.